CCCUUCGCGGUGCCACACUC
This 20-nucleotide non-coding RNA is filed under the name Arabidopsis thaliana (thale cress). The record is from RNAcentral. Lineage: Eukaryota; Viridiplantae; Streptophyta; Magnoliopsida; Brassicales; Brassicaceae.